Molecule: ribosomal RNA, 259 nt
Filed under: uncultured bacterium
Lineage: Bacteria
Description: partial 16S ribosomal RNA
Rfam family: Bacterial small subunit ribosomal RNA
Source: RNAcentral
UGGCGGACGGGUGAGUAACGCGUGGGUAACCUGCCUUACACAGGGGGAUAACACCUGGAAACAGGUGCUAAUACCGCUAUAAGCGCACAGGGCCGCAUGGCCCGGUGUGAAAAACUCUGGUGGUGUAAGAUGGACCCGCGUCUGAUUAGCUUGUUGGCGGGGUAGGGGCCCACCAAGGCGACGAUCAGUAGCCGGCCUGAGAGGGUGGACGGCCACAUUGGGACUGAGACACGGCCCAAACUCCUACGGGAGGCAGCAG